This 1091-nucleotide ribosomal RNA is filed under the name Trichomalopsis sarcophagae. Its description in RNAcentral is "bacterial SSU rRNA". It matches the Rfam family "Eukaryotic small subunit ribosomal RNA", at positions 638 to 1402 of the family's 1831-position model. Lineage: Eukaryota; Metazoa; Arthropoda; Insecta; Hymenoptera; Pteromalidae. The record is from RNAcentral.
AAUCAGAUUCUUUACAUUGAACGCUUCGGGUAAAUGAGUUCCACUGACGCUUCAUACUGUUAAUGGAGUUGAAAAAGCCCAGGUUCGAAGUAAGGGUGCUUUCAUUUAGAUCUCUAAGUUCUAAUUGGAUACGCGGUCGUCCUACUGACGAAAAGACUGCUCAGGUAUUAACAGUCGGUGAAACAAAGACUACAUCCAGGUCUUUAAUCGAUUCCAGUCUAGGCAGUACAACGCCGUCAAUGCAGCAGCGGUGCUCUUUACCGAGUGUCGAGGUGGGCCGGUACGUUUACUUUGAACAAAUUAGAGUGCUCAAAGCAGGCUAUGUUCGCCUGAAUACUGUGUGCAUGGAAUAAUGGAAUAGGACCUCGGUUCUAUUUUGUUGGUUUUCGGAACCCCGAGGUAAUGAUUAAUAGGGACAGAUGGGGGCAUUCGUAUUGCGACGUUAGAGGUGAAAUUCUUGGAUCGUCGCAAGACGGACAGAAGCGAAAGCAUUUGCCAAAAAUGUUUUCAUUAAUCAAGAACGAAAGUUAGAGGUUCGAAGGCGAUCAGAUACCGCCCUAGUUCUAACCAUAAACGAUGCCAGCUAGCGAUCCGCCGAAGUUCCUCCGAUGACUCGGCGGGCAGCUUCCGGGAAACCAAAGCUUUUGGGUUCCGGGGGAAGUAUGGUUGCAAAGCUGAAACUUAAAGGAAUUGACGGAAGGGCACCACCAGGAGUGGAGCCUGCGGCUUAAUUUGACUCAACACGGGAAACCUCACCAGGCCCGGACACCGGAAGGAUUGACAGAUUGAUAGCUCUUUCUUGAUUCGGUGGGUGGUGGUGCAUGGCCGUUCUUAGUUGGUGGAGCGAUUUGUCUGGUUAAUUCCGAUAACGAACGAGACUCUAGCCUGCUAAAUAGGCGUACCUUCAGGUAUCUCGAAGGCCCCCGGCUNUAUAUAUAUAUAUAUAUAUAUAUACACACACACACACACACACACACACACUCACUUUUUUUUAUCAUUUUUAGCAGUUAUUUUAUCUUACUGUUGGCUUCUAAAAAAGUUAAUUAAUGAUUGCUGUUCUUGUCCAAGUAUUUUCUUAUACAAUACCUCAA